AGAACGAACGCUGGCGGCAUGCCUAACACAUGCAAGUCGAACGGGACCUUCGGGUCUAGUGGCGCACGGGUGCGUAACGCGUGGGGAUCUGCCCUUAGGUACGGAAUAACUCAGGGAAACUUGAGCUAAUACCGUAUAAUGACUUCGGUCCAAAGAUUUAUCGCCUAGGGAUGAACCCGCGUAGGAUUAGCUUGUUGGUGAGGUAAAGGCUCACCAAGGCGACGAUCCUUAGCUGGUCUGAGAGGAUGAUCAGCCACACUGGGACUGAGACACCGGCCCAGACCUCCGUACGGGAGCAGGCAGGUGGGGUAAUAUUGGACAAGUGGGACGAAAGCCGUGACUCCAGCAAGUCGCCGGCGUGAGUGAGUGGAACGGCGUUAGGGUUAGUAAGUCUCGUUUUCGCCGGAUGAUAG
This 413-nucleotide ribosomal RNA is filed under the name uncultured soil bacterium. RNAcentral describes it as "bacterial SSU rRNA". It matches the Rfam family "Bacterial small subunit ribosomal RNA", at positions 26 to 451 of the family's 1533-position model. The record is from RNAcentral.